This 477-nucleotide ribosomal RNA is filed under the name Candidatus Scalindua marina (nom. nud.). RNAcentral's name for it is "bacterial SSU rRNA". It matches the Rfam family "Bacterial small subunit ribosomal RNA", at positions 365 to 832 of the family's 1533-position model. The record is from RNAcentral. Lineage: Bacteria; Pseudomonadati; Planctomycetota; Candidatus Brocadiia; Candidatus Brocadiales; Candidatus Scalinduaceae.
UUCGCAAUGCCCGAAAGGGUGACGAAGCGACGCCGCGUGGGUGAGGAAGGCCCUCGGGUUGUAAAGCCCUGUCAGGAGUUAAGAAAUGUAGACUCGCUAAUAUCGUGUCUAUUUGACAAAGGCUCCAAAGGAAGCCACGGCUAACUCUGUGCCAGCAGCCGCGGUAAUACAGAGGUGGCAAGCGUUGUUCGGAAUUAUUGGGCGUAAAGAGCACGUAGGUGGAUUUGUAAGUCAGAUGUGAAAGCCUUCUGUUCAACGGGAGAAUUGCAUCUGAAACUACAGACCUUGAGUAUAGGAGGGGAGAAUGGAACUUCUGGUGGAGCGGUGAAAUGCGUAGAUAUCAGAAGGAACGCCGGCGGCGAAAGCGAUUCUCUGGCCUAUUACUGACACUCAGUGUGCGAAAGCUAGGGGAGCAAACGGGAUUAGAUACCCCGGUAGUCCUAGCCGUAAACGAUGGGCACUAAGUAGAGGGGUUUU